GCCCCCGUGGCGGAAUUGGUAGACGCGCGUGACUCAAAAUCUCGUAUCUUCGGAUGUGCCUGUUCGAGUCAGGCCGGGGGCACCA
Molecule: transfer RNA, 85 nt
Filed under: Kiloniella laminariae
Lineage: Bacteria; Pseudomonadati; Pseudomonadota; Alphaproteobacteria; Rhodospirillales; Kiloniellaceae
Description: tRNA-Leu
Rfam family: tRNA
About the family: Transfer RNA (tRNA) molecules are approximately 80 nucleotides in length.
Source: RNAcentral